GCCAAUUUAUAUAUAAGAAAUAUUUUCUAAAUGCAAUUAUACUUAAACAUCACAUGCACCUGUACUCAUGUGUUUUGUUUAGGGGGGGAUUUUAAGUAUUUUCUCUGGGUCUGAUAAGUCUCAGUAAUAUGGUUCUAUUUUUACUAUGUGGAUUGAGAAGGGAAAAAUUUGACUGAACAGCUUCAUACAAAUCUACAUUUUCCAUCUUUAUUAAAUGUUCUUUAAUUGAUUCCACAAUGCAUCUCACACCUAUAUUCUGUAAGCACACGACAGCAAACAUGCCCUCUAGGCAUCUUUUGUUUUACUGACAAACUGAAACGGUCGGUAUAGCCCACCCUUUUAAUAAGGCCCCUCUAGGAUCUAUGACAUCGACAGAACCAUCAGCUGGUAACAUUUCUCAUGUCAUGGUACUCCAGGUGAGCAGAACCUAUGACUUCAGUCCAGGGUCUUUUUUGACCAAUGGCUUGGUUCAGAGGAAGUUGGAACACACUACAGGGUCUUUUUUGACCAAUGGCUUGGUUCAGAGGAAGUUGGAACACACUACAGGGUCUUUUUAGACCAAUGGCUUGGUUCAGAGGAAGUUGGAACACACUACAGGGUCUUUUUGACCAAUGGCUUGGUUCAGAGGAAGUUGGAACACACUACAGGGGUCUUUUUGACCAAUGGCUUGGUUCAGAGGAAGUUGGAACACACUACAGGUGUCAGGAGAGGAGUCAGAAAAAGAGAUGUUAGUACUGUAGGUCUUAUGAGUGUUUCUCUAAUACAGUUAAAGAAAACAGGCUUGUGUGCCUGCUAAGAUAAUAUAGUCCUAUGACUAUAAGGCAUAGUUCCUCAACCUAACUCAAAGACAGGAUUCUUCCUCUACUACCAGAUAAACUGAUUACAUAGAUCACCAGGAGACAAAAUACUGUUUUUUACUACUUAUUGACUAUUGAUUCUCGUUUCAGUAACCCAAUAGACACAAACAGUUAUUUUAGUUUGCUUUUAUUUAACCAGGUAAGUCAUUGAGAACACAUUCUCUUUUACAAUAAUGACAUACAGGUACAUGGUAACACAGGAUCACACACACACACACACA
RNAcentral lists this long non-coding RNA (1078 nucleotides) under Salmo salar (Atlantic salmon). RNAcentral's name for it is "lncRNA (ENSSSAG00000084943.1)". The record is from RNAcentral. Lineage: Eukaryota; Metazoa; Chordata; Actinopteri; Salmoniformes; Salmonidae.